This 212-nucleotide ribosomal RNA is filed under the name uncultured bacterium. RNAcentral's name for it is "partial 16S ribosomal RNA". It matches the Rfam family "Bacterial small subunit ribosomal RNA", at positions 524 to 732 of the family's 1533-position model. The record is from RNAcentral.
UACGGAGGGUGCAAGCGUUAUCCGGAUUCACUGGGUUUAAAGGGGUGUGUAGGCGGGUGUUUAAGUCAGUGGUGAAAUCUCCAGGCUCAACCUGGAAACUGCCAUUGAUACUAUUCAUCUUGAAUUCUGUUGAGGUGGGCGGAAUAUAUCGAUGUAGCGGUGAAAUGCUUAGAUAUGAUAUAGAAGCACCGAUUGCGAAGGCAGCUCACUAA